RNAcentral lists this ribosomal RNA (483 nucleotides) under uncultured bacterium. Its description in RNAcentral is "partial 16S ribosomal RNA". It matches the Rfam family "Bacterial small subunit ribosomal RNA", at positions 30 to 506 of the family's 1533-position model. The record is from RNAcentral.
AUUGAACGCUGGCGGCAGGCCUAACACAUGCAAGUCGAGCGGAUGAAGGGAGCUUGCUCCUGGAUUCAGCGGCGGACGGGUGAGUAAUGCCUAGGAAUCUGCCUGGUAGUGGGGGAUAACGUCCGGAAACGGGCGCUAAUACCGCAUACGUCCUGAGGGAGAAAGUGGGGGAUCUUCGGACCUCACGCUAUCAGAUGAGCCUAGGUCGGAUUAGCUAGUUGGUGGGGUAAAGGCCUACCAAGGCGACGAUCCGUAACUGGUCUGAGAGGAUGAUCAGUCAACCUGGAAAUGAGACACGGUCCAGACCCCUACGGGAGGACGCAGGGGGGAAUUUUGGAAAAGGGGGGAAAGCCUGAUCCAGCCAUGCCGGGUGUGUGAAGAAGGUCUUCGGAUUGUAAAACCCUUUAAGUUGGGGGAAAGGGCAGUAAGUUAAACCCUUGCUUUUUUGACGUUACCAACAAAAAAAGCACCGGCUAACUUCGU